GAUGAACGCUGGCGGCGUGCUUAACACAUGCAAGUCGAACGGAAAGGCGCCUGCUUGCCGGGGUACUCGAGUGGCGAACGGGGGUGUAACACGCGGGUGUUCUGCCCUGCACUUCGGGAUAAGCCUGGGAAACUGGGUCUAAUACCGGAGAGGACGAUGUUUUGGAUGCCAUUGUGGAAAGUUUUUCGGUGUGGGAUGAGCUCGCGGCCUAUCCGCUGGUUGGUGGGGUAAUGGCCUACCAAGGCGUCGACCGGUAGCCGGCCUGGGAGGGUAUACGGCAACAAUGGGCCUAAGGGACGGAGCAGACUCCUACGGGAGGCAGCAGUGGGGAGUAUUACGCAAUGAGGGCAAGCCUGAUGCGGCGACGCCGCGUGCGUGAUAACCGCCUUCGAGUUAUGAACUCCUUUCGCUAGAGACGAAGCGCAAGUGACGGUACCUGGAGAGGAAGCACCGGCUAACUACGUG
This 465-nucleotide ribosomal RNA is filed under the name uncultured bacterium. Its description in RNAcentral is "partial 16S ribosomal RNA". It matches the Rfam family "Bacterial small subunit ribosomal RNA", at positions 28 to 507 of the family's 1533-position model. The record is from RNAcentral.